GAGAAGCAUAACGAAAUUUGAGAAAGAAAAGAAAGAGAACCACGGCUUAGGGGUUUCAAAAGUUCCAAAUUCAAUUGCUAAUGUUGUGCAAGAGUUAUUGUCCGAGAAAAGAAAGGAGAAGGUGGACAAGGAGUGAUUCGAGAAAAUUUCGGUUAGUAGAAAGCCAGUGUCUGGUCCAGCAUCCAGAGCAAUCCUGACCUCAAAGAAAUUUUAGUGAUGUACCUUUCUUUUGAUAAUGCGGCAUGUAUCUAGGUGAUGUAUUAAUUAAAGUACGCUAUGUAUGUUAUUUAUUUGUGAAUUAGUUAUAAGCUAUCCGAUAUGUCUGAUAAUGCUCCAUAACCCUAUUCCGGUGACGGUUUGGGGUUAGGGGGUGUUACAAAGAGUAGGUCAAAGGGGGAAAUAAAUAUUGCUCUUUAGGUGGCUGAUGAUGAGACUAGUCCUAAAGCCAUCGACAUAAAAGAACUUCAAGAGCAGAUUGCACUGCUUACUCAUAAUUUUAAUAAGGCCUUUAAGAAGCAAUUUGGAAGAUUCAAGAAGUUUGAUGAUUCGAAGAACACUCCUAAAACUAAGAGUAAAGGUGUUGUUGUCAAGGAGGAAGCUGAAAAAGAAAAGAAGAAAGACAUCUAGUGCCAUGAAUGCCUUGGCUACGGUCAUAUUCAGGCUGAGUGUGCAAACACUUUUAAGAAGAAAAAGAAGUCUUUAUGCAUGACCUAGAGUGAUGAAGACACCUUUAGUAAGUCUAAAUUUGAUAAGGACCAAGUGAACAUUUAUGUAGCCUUUGCUUCAAAUGUAGUUUCUGGUUUAGAGGCUAAAAUAG
Gossypium raimondii (Peruvian cotton) is the source of this 817-nucleotide long non-coding RNA. RefSeq lists it as uncharacterized. The transcript is spliced from 3 exons. Lineage: Eukaryota; Viridiplantae; Streptophyta; Magnoliopsida; Malvales; Malvaceae. The record is from RefSeq and is a predicted model, not a curated record.